Molecule: ribosomal RNA, 112 nt
Filed under: Acanthosepion pharaonis
Lineage: Eukaryota; Metazoa; Mollusca; Cephalopoda; Sepiida; Sepiidae
Source: RNAcentral
UUACGGCCAUAUCUCGAUGAAACCCUGGUUUUGUACGAUCACCAAAGUUAAGCAACGUCGAGCCUGGACAGUACCUAGAUGGGUGACCACUUGGGAAUACCAGGUGCUGUAA